UACGUAGGCAGCAAGCGUUGUUCGGAAUUACUGGGCGUAAAGAGUGUGUAGGCGGUGCUCUAAGUUCGGUGUGAAAUCUCCCCGGCUUAACUGGGAGGGUGCGCCGGAAACUGGAGUGCUUGAGCGCGGGAGAGGAAAGCGGAAUUCCUGGUGUAGCGGUGAAAUGCGUAGAUAUCAGGAGGAACACCUGUGGUGUAGACGGCUUUCUGGACCGUAGCUGACGCUGAGACACGAAAGCGUGGGUAGCAAACAGG
Molecule: ribosomal RNA, 254 nt
Filed under: uncultured bacterium
Lineage: Bacteria
Description: partial 16S ribosomal RNA
Rfam family: Bacterial small subunit ribosomal RNA
Source: RNAcentral